RNAcentral lists this ribosomal RNA (479 nucleotides) under uncultured bacterium. RNAcentral's name for it is "bacterial SSU rRNA". It matches the Rfam family "Bacterial small subunit ribosomal RNA", at positions 64 to 524 of the family's 1533-position model. The record is from RNAcentral.
GAGCCAACUCUUUAUAAGCUUGCUUUUGAAGAGUUAGCGGCGGACGGGUGAGUAACACGUGGGCAACCUGCCUAUAAGACUGGGAUAACUUCGGGAAACCGGAGCUAAUACCAGAUAAUUCUUUUCUACUCAUGUAGAAAAGCUGAAAGACGGUUUACGCUGUUACUUAUAGAUGGGCCCGCGGCGCAUUAGCUAGUUGGUGAGGUAACGGCUCACCAAGGCCACGAUGCGUAGCCGACCUGAGAGGGUGAUCGGCCACACUGGGACUGAGACACGGCCCAGACUCCUACGGGAGGCAGCAGUAGGGAAUCUUCCGCAAUGGACGAAAGUCUGACGGAGCAACGCCGCGUGAGUGAUGAGGGUUUUCGGAUCGUAAAACUCUGUUGUUAGGGAAGAACAAGUACGAGAGUAACUGCUCGUACCUUGACGGUACCUAACCAGAAAGCCACGGCUAACUACGUGCCAGCAGCCGCGGUAAU